Schizosaccharomyces pombe (fission yeast) is the source of this 925-nucleotide non-coding RNA. Lineage: Eukaryota; Fungi; Ascomycota; Schizosaccharomycetes; Schizosaccharomycetales; Schizosaccharomycetaceae. The record is from the annotation of a GenBank genome assembly.
AUUGUAUUUUCUAAGUAUAUUCUACUUAUUCAGCUUUCUCUAAUUUGGCACGUUCAAUCCAAUCAACAUUUCCUUUUAUAGUCUCAUUAAUUAAUUGAUGUAGCUUAUCAACAAAAAUGGGAAUAAAAGUACCAGGACCUUGAACGAGUAAGUCACCACAUGAGUUUUUCGCUUCCACUGCUAAUUCAGAAGCUAUAUUAUAAAGUAGAGUUGCAGUAAUUGCUGCCAACAAUUUGUCAUUUUGACAAAUAGAAGCCGUUACACCCAUCACACUUCCCAAUGAACAACCCGAAGCGGUAAUUUGUCCUAGUAAGGGAUUUCCAUUUUUAAUGACAUAAGUAGAAUUUCCAUCGCUGAUAACAUCAACUGCACCAGACAUUGCUACUACACAGCGUCUUUCAACAGCAAGGCGGUGAACAGCUGUAAUGCGAGCAGCUAAUGUAUGCUGGGAAAUACUAUCUACUCCUCUCAUCAAACCUUGCUCACCUGCUAAGUUCAUAAUUUCUCCUUCAUUCCCUUUGAUAAUAUCAUAGUAAGCAUAAUUUAACAAAGUAUUAAUAACUUUUGAACGAGCGGUUGUAGCACCUACGGCAACUGGAUCUAAAAUAACGGGCCUGGCUAAAUCAUUGUUGACUUGAGCAGCAUGAAUAUACGUCUUUGUAUUUUCAAGAAUUCCAAUAUUCAAUACAAGAGCACCUGGGGCUUUUGCAAAAUCAGCAACUUCAUCGUAGCUUUCACCCAUAGUUGGAGAACCAUAUGCUGCAAGAGUAACGUUAGCAGAAAAGUUUUUUGCAACAGCAUUAGUCAGAUGAUGAAUUAGAGGAGUGAAAUCCUUCAACUUCUGUAAAGCAGCAGGAAUUUGGUUCAGUAAAUCCUUGGGAGUUGUAAGAGACGAACGUGCUUGAGCAAAGCAUGGAGGAGUGGC